GGAGGAAAAGAAACCAACUGGGAUUCCCUUAGUAACGGCGAGCGAACAGGGAAGAGUCCAGCGCCGAAUUCCACGUUCGUACGGACGUUUGGGAAAAUGUGGCGUUUAGGAGGAAGCGUGCCGGAGGUUGGCUCUGCAGCAAGUCCCCCUGACCGGGGCUGUUACCCAGAGCGGGUGCGAGGCCCAUAGCUGCUAGGUCUCCUCCGGAUGCGACCUCUUGGGAGUCGGGUUGCUUGGGAGUGCAACCCUAAUCGGGUGGUAAACUCCACCUAAGACUAAAUACGGCCGUGAGACCGAUAGCAAACAAGUACCGUGAGGGAAAGUUGCAAAGAACUUUGAAGAGAGAGUUCAAGAGUACGUGAAACUGCUCAGAGGCAAACGGGUGGGCCCUCGAAAUCCUGUGGCGGGGGGAUUCAGUCAGGAGGGGCGGAGGUGUUCGCCGGUCGUUUUAGACGGACCCUCUCCAGGCCGGGCCGGCGGCACGGUCUCCUCUCCGCCUGACGCAUUUCCUCCCGCACGAAGGACGCCGCAGCCGGUUGGGUAGCUGCGCGAGUCGGCCUUAAGGGCGGACGCGGAAGGUGGCCGGUGGCGUGGCUUCGGCCUCGCCGCCGGUUGUUAGCCAGUCCGUCCGUGGCGCGACACCCGACCGAGGUUACGACGGUCCCUUUCUGGGGACUUCGCCGUCCCCCACCGCUCGGUGGUGGGCGCUCCGACAUGCACGUCCGGGCGAUGCCGCGUCACUCCCCGAGUGGCCGGCACGUCAGGUCUGCCAGUUGGUCGGAAGCGACCCGCGGGGGCUCCGGCGGCUAGCGGCGAGUAGGUCGGUCACCCACCCGACCCGUCUUGAAACACGGACCAAGGAGUCUAACAUGUGCGCGAGUCACGGGGUCUUGCUUAGGCCCAGAGGCGCAAUGAAAGUGAAGGUCGGCCUCGACGUCGACUGUGUUGGGACUCUCCGUCCGCUCCCGGGCGGGGAAGCACCAACGACCCGUCCUAUCCGAUUCAUCGGUUGGGCGGAGUCUGAGCGUACACGUUGGGACCCGAAAGAUGGUGAACUAUGCCUGGGCAGGACGAAGCCAGAGGAAACUCUGGUGGAGGUCCGUAGCGGUUCUGACGUGCAAAUCGAUCGUCAGACCCGGGUAUAGGGGCGAAAGACUAAUCGAACCAUCUAGUAGCUGGUUCCCUCCGAAGUUUCCCUCAGGAUAGCUGGCGCUCGGAGGAAUCAGUCUCAUCCGGUAAAGCGAAUGAUUAGAGGCCUUGGGGCCGAAACGACCUCAACCUAUUCUCAAACUUUAAAUGGGUGAGAAGUCCGGCUUGCAUGACUGAAGCCCGGACGUUAGGAUGAGAGCGCCCAGUGGGCCACUUUUGGUAAGCAGAACUGGCGCUGUGGGAUGAACCAAACGCCGGGUUACGGCGCCCGAUGCGAGACGCUCAUGAGACCCCAUGAAAGGUGUUGGUUGCUAUAGACAGCAGGACGGUGGCCAUGGAAGUCGGAAUCCGCUAAGGAGUGUGUAACAACUCACCUGCCGAAGCAACUAGCCCUGAAAAUGGAUGGCGCUCCAGCGUCGAGCCCAUACCCGGCCGCUGCGGCAGAGCUUCUUCGCGAGGCUUACGCCACAGUGAGUAGGAGGGUCGCAGCGGCGAGCGUUGAAGGUGCCGGGCGUGAGCCCGCCUGGAGCCGCCGCUGGUGCAGAUCUUGGUGGUAGUAGCAAAUACUCAAGUGAGAACCUUGAGGACUGAGGUGGAGAAGGGUUCCAUGUGAACAGCAGUUGAACAUGGGUCAGUCGGUCCUAAGGGAUAGGAGAAAUCCGUUCCGAAGCGGGACGUUGAGCUUGUCGAAAUAGCGAGUUCGUCCCGCUACCGACCGAAAGGGAAUCGGGUCAAUAUUCCCGAACCCGGACACGGAGAUCGGGCCUUCGGGUCCAAGUGCGGUAACGCAACCGAACUCGGAGAAGUCGACGGGAGUCCCGGGAAGAGUUGUCUUUUCUUUGUAAGGGCUCGGGUCCCUGGAAUCGGCUCGUCCGGAGAUAGGGAUGCUGUUCCCGUAAAGCACCGCGGCUCUUGCGGUGUCCGGAGCGCUCCUGUCGGCCCUUGAAAAUCCGAGGGAGAAAGUGUGAUUUUCGUGCCGGACCGUACCCAUAUCCGCAGCAGGUCUCCAAGGUGAACAGCCUCUAGUCGAUA
This 2181-nucleotide ribosomal RNA is filed under the name Filistata insidiatrix. RNAcentral's name for it is "eukaryotic LSU rRNA". It matches the Rfam family "Eukaryotic large subunit ribosomal RNA", at positions 52 to 1892 of the family's 3401-position model. Lineage: Eukaryota; Metazoa; Arthropoda; Arachnida; Araneae; Filistatidae. The record is from RNAcentral.